Molecule: non-coding RNA, 4706 nt
Organism: Callithrix jacchus (white-tufted-ear marmoset)
Lineage: Eukaryota; Metazoa; Chordata; Mammalia; Primates; Cebidae
Source: RefSeq, a predicted model, not a curated record
CCUCAGUGCUGGGCUGGGAGGGGCCAGGGGAGGGGUGGGGUCACAGAUAGGGACCCGGACCCCGCCCUCCGCCUUCCCAGCGCUCCGGGGCUGCGCGGGCCGGACGCAGGAUGUGAAGUGAGGUGUUUUGGUCUUUUGGGCUUCAGAAGUUCGGAAGAGGAAGACAGAUGACUGUGCAGUGUGGCAGUUGCUCCUUGGGCACUUACAGCAGCUUGUUAGAGUGAGGACAGAAGACUUCAUAGCACAGAGGGAACCUGUGACACUGGCUUUAUAUCACACGAUGGUAAAUACCCAGCACAUCCGCCCAGGCUGAGGACCUACAACUCUGAAUUUCUGGCCUGCCUCCUUCCAGCGAGAAGUGAAUCUAGAUUUACAUGCCAUCAGAAACAAGCAUCAUCUUCCUGCUCCGUGAGUUCCUAGUUUUAGAAGGUUCUGCUUUCAUCCUGGAAUAUCAAUCCACACACACAAGGUCCCUCUCUGUGGAGGAGUAGGUACUUAAACCUAAGAUAAGUGGAAACUUUAUAUCCAAGAAGACAGAAAAUAAAAUUUCAGUAUAUUUUAUAUUAAACAGCUUCUUAUGCUUCUAUCCUUUUAUGAACAGAAGGUCAUCAGUAGGCCAAAAGUCUGAAAAACAGUCUCAGUUCCUCAAUGUGAGUGCAAACCAUUAGUGCAAAAAAUAAUUAAAUUAAAAAAUGAAAGGACAGAUACUUUCUAGCCUUGUUCUCUUAUAGCCCCAUAUUCUUAGGGCUGACCAUUCUCCAUCCAUACCCACGCCAUUCCCAAAGGACAUUAUCUGUGAAUGGUGGCCACAUGUGUGGAUGUUACAGAACACGCACGUUCUCAGUAUUUCACAGACAUAAUCAUGCAGCCAGUAUGCACACUGGAAGUCAGCAAAGUGUCUCCCUGGUUGCCUGGGUAGCUGACACUCAAUUCUUCAUAGUCAAUUGAGCCAUUUCUUAGCUCCUAGAAGGGUAAAAUGGGACAUGCAUUUAUUAGAAGUAUGACUUUAAGACACUAGAAAGUCUGAGAUGAUGGAACUCUGCCAAGCAAUCGAGAAAUCCUGUGAUGGUUGAUUUUAGGUGUCAACUUGACUGGAUCAAGGGACACACAGAUAGCUGGUAGCGCAUGAUUUCUGGGUGUCUGUGAGGGCGUUUCUGGAAGAGACUGGCGUUUGAAGCAAUGGACUGAGUAAGGAAGAUCUGCUCUCAUACAAUGUGGGUGGCACCAUCUAAUUGGCUGAUGGCCCAGAUAGAACAAAAAGGCAGAGGAGAGACAAAUUCUUUCUCUCUCUUCUGGAGCUGGGGCACCCUUCUUCUGCUUUUGGAAGCAGAAUUCCAAGUUCUUCAGCUUUUGAACUCCAGGACCUGAACCGGUGGCUCCCCAGGUUCUCAGACCUGCUGUCUUGGACUGAGAGUAACACCAUCAGUUUCCCUAAUUCUGAGACCUUUAGCUGGGAUGGAACCACACUACCAGCUUCCCUGGGUCUCUGGCUCGCAGAUGCCUGUCAUGGCACUUCUCAGUUUCCGAAUUGUGUGAGCUGAUUCCCCUAAUCAAUCCCCUCAUCUCUAUCCCUCCAUCCAUUCAUCCAUCCAUCCAUGUUUUGUCUCUCCGAAAAACUAUAAAUCCAUCCUGAAAAUACCAACUAUAGUCAUGUAUUACAUAACAUGUUUCAGUUAACAACUAACAUGUUUCAGUUAACAUAUAUGACAACGGUCCCAUAAGAUUACCCUAUUUUUGCUUUUUAAUGUUUAGAUAUGUUUACGUACACGUACUUCCCCUUGUGUUGCAAUUACCUACACUUUUCAGUUUGAUCACAUGCUGGACAGGCUAUAUAGGUUUGCAGCCUAGGAGCAAGAGGCCACACCAUAUAGCAUACAUAUGUAGUAGGCUAUACCAUGUAGGUUUGGUAAGUACACUUUGAUGUUCAGAAAAUGGUGAAAUUGGCUGGGUGCAGUGGCUCACACCUGUAAUCCCAGCACUUUGGGAGGCUGAGGCAGGUGGAUCAUGAGGUCAGGAAUUUGAGACCAGCCCAACCAACAUGGGGAAACCCCAUCUCUACUAAAAAUACAAAAAUUAGCCAGGCAUGGUGGUGUGCGCCUGUAAUCUCAGCUACUCAGAAGGCUGAGGCAGGAGAAUCACUUGAACCCAGGAGGUGGAGGUUGCAAUGAGCCAAGAUCGCGCCACUGUACUCCAGCCUGGGCAACAGAGUGAGACUCCAUCUCAGGAAAAAAAGAAAACAAAUCACCAAAGGAUGUAUUUCUCAGAAUGUAUCUCCGUUAAGUGACACACGAGUGUGCUUGUGUGUGUUAAGGGCAAUCAAAAAUGUCACUGGGGCUUUAUCAAAGGCAGUAUUAUCUUAUAUGGACUCUUGGUCCUACUGAAUAUUUUUGUCCUCUUCUUUGCCCACCAUCCACCCCCAUAAACAUUACCCACAUUGCAGCCAGGGCAAACAUUUAGAAACUGAAAUCUGAUUUAUGAUCCCUUGUUAAGACACCCCAAUAAAAGGCUUUUCAGGCUGAGUUGGUGGCUCAUGCCUGUAAUCCCAGCAAUUUGGGAGGUUGAGGCAGGUGAAUUGCUUGAGCCCAGAAGUUUGAGACUAGCCUGAGCAACAAAUUGAGACCCCCGUUGCUACCAAAAAAGAAAUAGCCAUGUGUGGUGGCACAGUGCCUGUACCAUCAUGACUACUCAGGAAGCUGAGGCAGGAAGAUCGCUUGAACUUGGGAGAUCAAGAUUGCUGUGAGCUGUGGUCCCUCCACUGCACUCCAGCCUGGGUGACAGAACAAGACCUAGUCGCAAAAUAAAAAUAAAAAUAAUAAUAAUAAAGGCUCCCCAAUCACUUAGAACAACAUCCAGACAUUUUCCUAUGUUCUAGAAGGUUCUAGGGGAUUUGUCCCUGCCUACCUCUUCUGCCUCACACAUGUUUCCCGCUUGUUCAUGAGCAUAUCUGAGUCUGAUCUAGCCUAUGGGACUUUACACUUGCAGUUUCCUCUGCCUGAAAUGCUCUGUGCUCUUGGCCUGGCUUUCUUGUUGCUAUGGCUUAAAUAUUUUUCCUCUCCAAAAUGCACGUUGAAACCUAAUCCCCAAUGUUGCAGUAUGGAGAGGUGGGGCUUUUCAGAGGCGUUUGGAUUAUGAGGGCUCUGCCCUCAUCCGUGGAUUAAUCCAUUCAUGAAUUAAUGCAUUACCCUGGGAACGGGACUGGUGGCUUUGCAAGAAGAGGAAGACAGCUGAGCUAGCACAGGCAGGAACCUUGCCACGCGAUACCCUGAGCCGCCUUGAAACUGCAGAGACCCUAGGUGCAGCCCCUUGACCUUGGAAUUCUCAGCCUCCGUAACUGUAAGAAAUAUUUUUCUUUACAGAUUUCCCAGUUUUGGGUAUUCAGUUAUUAGCAAGAGAAGACAAAGAUACUUGUCAUUUUAAGUAUCUGUUCAAGUGAUACUACCUCGUAGAGCUGUACCUGACCACAUGGUCUAAAGGGCUCCUCCCCCUUUUCAUGCUAUAUGCAUCUUGCUUUUUAUUCCCACACCCUCAGAUUACCCAUUUACAUGUUAAUUGUUGUUCCUCAUUCUAGAAGAUAAGUGGAGGAACUUUGUCAACUUCCCUGCUAUGUCUCUACUACCUUCCAGAGUACUUGACGCAAAGUAGGUGCUCAAUAAAUAUUUGUUGAAUGACUGGAGAUACUUUGUUUCUGCAUUUAAGAGACAGUAUUGCACAAGGGAGAAAUUGGGGACUUAACCUCUCUUGGGAAGGAUGGGAAAGCCCUGCCUCUCAUUAGUUGUUUAAUUACUUCAAAGUGUGGGAUUUCAGGCAGAUUAGCAAUCUUUCGUAUUCCAGUUGUCACAGCUAAAUGCUCGUGGGCCUAAUCACAGCACCUGUGAUUCUUAAACUGAUCACUGAUGUCUGGUUUUCCUGUAGGAUUAGCAGAGGAAGAAGGCAUCUGCAGACUAUCACCAUUGGCAUCUUUUGAGAUUUUUAAUUAACGGAGUAUUUUUUUUUCUUUCUCAUUCAUGGUCAGGGUUUUGAUUAAAUUGUAAGUGGAAAUCUUGUCAUGUCAAAGAGGUUGAAGGAGGGUGCUUGGGGUAGAUGAGAGAUGUCAGGUCUGCCCUUCGUCGCUGAUGAAGAAUUGGUGGUGCACCAGCUGGCGCCUCCCUGUCCGCAGCGGGCCACCCCCCACGUGGCAGGGAUGGGUAUGCACCACAAUUACAGUUAUUGGCUGCAGUGGAUAAUUGGACUUGCUGAGACCUCUCUGCUUACCAGACAUUUCUUUCUGUCUGCCGUGCCUUUGUGAACAUGGGGGUCCCCAAGUUUUCAGCGGGCGAAGCCAGCAGGCAACAGCUCACACUGGCAUUUUUGUCAGUCAGGCACCUUCAUCUUGGCAUUCCAGCUUCUAUCCAGGCUGCCUCAGCGCUUCUGAAUGAUGAACACGGCCUGCGAAUAGUUCAUCCACAGAGCUGGCUUGGCAGGCGAAGGCUUCUCAGCCCCACCGAGCAGGGGGCUAGAUCUCACUGCUCUCCUUUCAGUGGCCCCAGGUGCAGCCUUCACUUCUUACCUCCACCAGAUUUGGGGUUUUCAGAGCUAACUGCGGUUUCGGGAAAAGUUCUGUGUUUGGACAAAGCUUUGCAAUAAGGCAGAUCUGGGUUUGAAUCUUAUCAAUGUACUUAAUCCUCGAAACCUCAAUUUUAUCUGUAAAAUAAAGAUGAUAAUCAGGA